Molecule: ribosomal RNA, 489 nt
Filed under: uncultured bacterium
Lineage: Bacteria
Description: bacterial SSU rRNA
Rfam family: Bacterial small subunit ribosomal RNA
Source: RNAcentral
AUUGAACGCUGGCGGCAUGCCUUACACAUGCAAGUCGAACGGCAGCACGGGUGCUUGCACCUGGUGGCGAGUGGCGAACGGGUGAGUAAAGUAUCGGAACGUGCCUGGUAGUGGGGGAUAACUAGUCGAAAGACUAGCUAAUUCCGCAUACGAUCUAAGGAUGAAAGCAGGGGACCUUCGGGCCUUGUGCUAUCAGAGCGGCCGAUAUUUGAUUAGCUAGUUGGUGGGGUAAAAGCCCCCCAAGGCGACGAUCCGUAGCUGGUUUGAGAGGACGACCAGCCCCCCUGGAACUGAGACCCGGUCCCGACUCCUUCGGGAGGCAGCCGUGGGGAAUUUUGGACAAUGGGGGCAACCCUGAUCCAGCAAUGCCGCGUGAGUGAAGAAGGCCCUCGGGUUGUAAAGCUUUUUUGUCAGGGAAGAAAAGGCUGUGGCUAAUAUCCCCAGCUGCUGACGGUACCUGAAGAAUAAGCCCCGGCUAACUACGUGCCC